CCGCUCUGCCAUGCCCUCUGGGUAGUGUUUUUCAUUCCAGGCUGGGGAUCCGGUGGUGGGAAGCAGGUGCAGAGCCUGCAGGGAGAACUCAGACGAAAUGUAGGACUUUAAGACCCAAGCUCAGAUUCUACAACGCCCACGGGACUAAGAGGUCUGUGGGUUGUGCUACCUUCCAUCAGAUUUUCAGAAACUAAAAGUUGUCCCUACGUGGAUCUAAUAAGUCACCUCCUAUCUCCUGGAUUUGCCCUUCCGGUCUUCUCAUCACCUUUGCUGCCUUGUGGGCCCUGGAUUUAUUUAGGUGGCAAACUGGAGAUCAGAGUUACUGACCUCCCAGAGCAAGCAGCAGGUAUCCUGGGCAGACAUGGGUUCUGGAGCGUCUGGCUUCUAUGGAAUAGCUAAUCACCCUCCAGGCUAUAACGCAAGUGAGUUAUCUGUAGAGAUUCCCUGCCUUUCACUGGUAUCUUGAUGAUAACAGCAACUUCCUGAUUCCCUGGACCAAGAACAGUGUAAUCUGAAAGUUAGGUUCUCCUUCCCAACUUCCUCUGCAAUGUUUCUGUCAGCAUCUGGCACUGUUGGAGCUGAGGAGGUGGCUCAAUGGGCAAGGCACUUCCUGACAGAUGUGAGGACAUGAGUUCAUGUAACCAGAACUCAUGCUUAUAUGGACCCGGGCUUGGUCAUGAGCAUCUGAACUCAUAAUGCUCUGGGAGGCAGAGGCGGGGAUAUCCUGAGUUAGCCUGGCAUACACAGAAGUGAACAGCGAGAGACCCAAGGUGGUCUCAAGGUAGAUAGCAAGGACCUCUGACCCCAACCCCAACGUGAGUUUCUUGGCAUAUUCAUACUGGCACUAACACACACCAUAUACACACAUCACACA
Molecule: long non-coding RNA, 874 nt
Filed under: Mus spicilegus (steppe mouse)
Lineage: Eukaryota; Metazoa; Chordata; Mammalia; Rodentia; Muridae
Description: lncRNA (ENSMSIG00000020249.1)
Source: RNAcentral